UCGAGUCUAAACAACUCCCAAACCCAUGUGAACUUACCACUUUGUUGCCUCGGCGGAGCAACUUACCCGGUACCUGUCUACCCGGCGGGCUCACCCGAUGCCUGCCGGCGGACCAUUAAACUCUUGUUUUUAUUUGACAUUCUGAAUUUUAAAACUUAAUAAGUUA
Molecule: unclassified non-coding RNA, 166 nt
Filed under: uncultured Ascomycota
Lineage: Eukaryota; Fungi; Ascomycota
Description: sequence contains ITS1
Source: RNAcentral